This 374-nucleotide ribosomal RNA is filed under the name uncultured organism. RNAcentral describes it as "partial 16S ribosomal RNA". It matches the Rfam family "Bacterial small subunit ribosomal RNA", at positions 525 to 896 of the family's 1533-position model. The record is from RNAcentral.
GGAGGGGGGGCAAGCGUUGUUCAGAAUUGCUGGGCGUAAAGGGCGCGUAGGCGGCCUGCCAAGUCAGGGGGUGAAAGGGCCCGGGCUCAACCCGGGAACUGCCCUUGAAACUGGCAAGCUAGAGUCCGAGAGAGGAUGGCGGAAUUCCCAGUGUAGAGGUGAAAUUCGUAGAUAUUGGGAAGAACACCGGUGGCGAAGGCGGCCAUCUGGCUCGGUACUGACGCUGAGGCGCGAAAGCGUGGGGAGCAAACAGGAUUAGAUACCCUGGUAGUCCACGCCGUAAACGAUGUGUGCUAGACGUUGGAGGUCUUAGGCCUCCGGUGUCGCAGCUAACGCGUUAAGCACACCGCCUGGGGAGUACGGCCGCAAGGUUA